This 72-nucleotide transfer RNA is filed under the name Camelus bactrianus (Bactrian camel). It matches the Rfam family "tRNA". From Rfam's summary of the family: Transfer RNA (tRNA) molecules are approximately 80 nucleotides in length. RNAcentral also lists the same sequence under 2 other names. The record is from Rfam by way of RNAcentral. Lineage: Eukaryota; Metazoa; Chordata; Mammalia; Artiodactyla; Camelidae.
GAGGGUAGAGCUCAGGGGUGGAGCACGUGCUUAGCACGCAUGAGGCCCGGGGUUCCAUCCCCAGCGCCUCCA